Molecule: unclassified non-coding RNA, 3337 nt
Filed under: Leishmania donovani
Lineage: Eukaryota; Euglenozoa; Kinetoplastea; Trypanosomatida; Trypanosomatidae
Description: gene:LdHU3.36.1870(CDS-product:The_ARF-like_2_bin ding_protein_BART_putative)
Source: RNAcentral
AGAGUCGUGCAGCCCGUCUUACGCUGUUUCUUCUACAAUCCGAUAUUGCCUGCAGAUCGUACGUCUCUGUCACUACCCGAAUCCGUACCAGAAUCAUCCCUGAGGUACAUACUGCACAGCGGGAGCGCUCAAAGCCCCUUUGUCUUGGCACGUAUUUCGAAAUUUGCCGGUGCUCUGGCUUCCGACGCUUUCCGUUGGCCUCCUUUCCAUCCUUCCCUCACGCGGUGUGACGCAUUUUUCGCUCUUCGCCCUCCCCCGCCGCCUCUCUUGUGCCGGUACUGUACACUGCCGACCACCUCAUCACGCGUGUAUGCUCCCCCCUCUCCUCGGUUCUCUUGCGUUUUUUUUGUUGUUCUUUCCGUUUCGCUGUUCUGUCUCGUUAGUCGGCUGCUCGCACGUCUACACGACACCUCAAACUCAUCUUCGUUAGCCACCACUUUCAUAAGUUCGUCUCACACGAACGCGGUGAGCUCGGCUCCGCGUAUACGUCAGACGCUGCGUACGUGUGCUGUGGUUUCGUGCGAACUUGCCAGCGGGGAAGCCGCAGAGCGUUGUGUGUUGUCAGCCACAACGUUGCCCGAGUAGGACUAGGGAGGAGACGCGCUCUUGGGACUUCCUCUUUUCGCCUGUCUUCUCACUCACAUCGAAAAGAACUUCCGAUCGUCGUGUGGUGUCGUUCAACGGCUUUGACGUGGUCACUGUGGUGGCACCGAGUGCGCUUGGAGGCCGGUACGUACAUCGUGUCGCUCACAAUGACGGAGAGCCGGUGGAUCACGGAGGCCCUCGUGCAGUUUUCCGCGUCGCCGAUAUGGCUGACGCCGAUCGACAACUUUGUCGACGAUAACUGCUGCAUCUUCAGUAACGAGUCAGAGAUGCAGUUGGAGUACACGGUGGUGCACAACAAAUUCAAGAAGCUCAUCGACUCCUUGCUGACGUGCUUCUUGAUGGAGCUGGGGGUGUCGAUGGAGACGGCCGUGGAGGCCCUGCAGAGCUCCCUCGUGGUGAGUGCGCAGACGUCCGAGGGCCGGUCCGAGCAACAAGCUGCGAAGAAAUUGCUGAAGCAGAUCUUUAAUGCGGACAACUUCUCGCGCUUUCACACCAUGAUGGUGAAGCGCAACUUGGAGCUUGACAUUCUGGCAAACGCCGCUCUCUCUUCAGAUAAGGUAUGCGGGGACGGCGGUGCAGCGCUGUCAGCGGAGGAAGUCGAGAAGGAAACCCCGGCCCCGGCUCGCGUGCAGCGCGCCAUAGACCUCAACGGCGACGUAAACGAGGACGAUGCGCUGCGACGCGCCAUCGAAGUGUCGUUGCAGGAUGACCAUGCACAGCAGCAAGUACAGGCGUACAAGAAGGCUUGCAUACAGGAGGAUGCAGAUCUACAAAUGGCUGCUGUCGAACACCAAGCAAACCGUGAGAAGGCGCAGCUGGAGGCUGCCCUGCAGACGCAGCCCGCUCAGAAGCUCUCCGAAGGCGAGCACUGCCGACAGAAUCACGUCGAAUCCAUUAACAAGCAGAAGAAAUCGCAACUUCAGCCGAUUCAUGACCUCGCAAUGCCGGGGACGGGGCAGAAGGGGUGCGAGGAGGCCGAGCCGCAGAAGGCGGAUUUCAAUUCACCUGAGUCGCCUUUUCCUCUUCCGGCGCAGCAAGUUGCCGCUGCGCCGGCGUCGGUGGCCGCUGCGGAGUCCGCACCUGUGGCCGCGCCGGUCAGCGUACCUGCGUUGCCCUCCAUUGGUCAGCGCCAGGCUGCCUUGCCUGCUAUUCCGUCCACAGUGACUGCAAGCGUCUCUAAAUCGACUCCCAGCGCACCGGCGCAUCCGGCACACGGUACCGCCGUCUCAGCAACGCCGGCGCCGGCACCGGCACCCACAAACGAGGAGCUUGAAAAGCGUGCCCAGUACAUGCGAGAGCAGCGUGAAAAGCUCCUUGCCCGCAACCGUGCCUCGCGUCAAGAGCAGCUCAGCACGUUCCUGCAAAACAACAGCUCUUCGACGGCCACGUCGUCUUCCGCAGCAUUGGCAGCCACCGGCGCCGCGCAAUCAGUGACCGUCGAAAUCGCUCGCCGGCUGCGCGGUGACCUCAUAGGUGAAGCGCGGAAGAGCAGUGGUUGAUGCGCUCUCUUGCUCCUCUCCUCGCCGCCGGUUUGUCGUCAUACGGUGUGAUAGUUCUGCAUGUUGUUCUUAUCCCAUUGCUUCGCUCGGACCCUAUCUACGGUGUUGAGGGGCGGGGGAGAAGUUGUGGAGUGGAGGGGGUACGGGCAAGCCAGUAUCUGUUGUAUCCCUGUUUUUUUUUUCGUUCGCGCCCGGAGUCCCGUGCAGGAUGCAGCACACUUCGAUAAGUUCUGCUGGCUGUUGAGGGUGCAGCGUCAGAGCGCGGAGGGCGAUCAGUAGCACCCCUUUGUGCUCUCUGCCUUUUCCUUAGAGCUCGCAUCGGGUCACUGAAGAAGAAUGCGGGCCAUGGCGUUGACGCGCUCUCUGUUUCCUGCACUGCGCGCGCGAGCCGACGCUCCCCACCAUCGUUUUUGCCCCUGGCCCGUUUCUCACCCUCCCCCCAUCCCUUUCCCGCCUCCACCGUCUCUGCGGCCCUUUCUCUGGAAACAUGUAGCUUCGGCAUUUGGUUUUCACCGAUCACGUGCCGUGAUGUGGUCCACUGAUAUGCUUCCUUUUUUCUUCUGUUUUUCCUUUUUGUUUGAGUUCUCCCUCAUGGUACUUACCGGUGUCCCCUCCUGCCCAUAUGUGUUUGUUUGAUUCUGGUGUUGGCGAUGCGGCUUCUCUUUUUCUUCUCGCCCCCGCGCUUGUGGGUCCAUUUCCGGACUCGCAUGCUUUCCGCUGCCCCCCCCCCUCCCUCCCUCCCUCCCUUGGCUGUACCACCCGCAUUGAGUGACCUGCUUUGACAAUGACCUAAUAACAUCGCAAUAGUGAAGGAGGGCGACUUUUUUUUCUAUCGUUUCGCUUGUGAGACAGAGGCGGAGAGGAGAGAAGGGAGAGGAGGGGGAGGAUGUAUAUUCUUCUUUUGGAAACGUAAGCAGAGAAAGGGAUCAGAAGGGCGUGUCGUGUCUCGCUCCCCACGACGCGUGUGCUCCGACUUACACUGUCUGUCUGUGACGUGGGAGUAAUCGUGACGACGACACUCUUGUCAUUCUCUCUUUGUUCCCCUUUUGUAUGCUUCCCCCUUUUUUCUUUUUUUCGCUGUUGUUUUUGUUUUGCUUUUAGCGCCCGUGACGCCCUUUGCUUUCGCAAUGGCCAUUUACCUUUCCGUGGAGGAGAGGAGGGGCGGGGGAAGGAGUGCUGUGGUUGUAGACACCGUCCUGUGGCGCAAUUCAGCGUUUCUCCGUAUGCCUCUU